UACAAAUUCUGAAGUUUGAGAGUCAUCAAAUUGUUCAAAUUAAAUUGUUUCAAAAGAAAAUUUUGAAAAAUAAAAGACCAAAAGAGAAACUAACACAUUGACACAUAUAUCCGAGUACGUCCCCUAUGCUUUUGAAAGUACAUAUGGAGGUUUUUGUAUUUGUAAGUUGUUUUUGAUGAUAGAACAUUUAAUUCGAUCAUUGUUUUCGUUAAUUAUGAUCUACGUUAUUAGAGUUAUUAAAAAACUAAAUUUUAUAGUCUUUCGACAUCAUUUACUAAAUAAUCAAAGGCUCUCAAAAAAGAUUGUUUUAAUGGCUGAUGUGGCACGUUUGUAAGUUUAAUCAGUAGAACAAUUCAAAUUUUAUGAAAUUUUAAUAGAAAAUUCUACUUAACAUCAACAGUUAGCGAGAUCAACACUUUCAGUUUGAAAUUUGAUUCUUUUAUCACUGUUUCUUGUAAGAUUUUUAUUUUCAGCCGUUCAUUUUGAGGCUACUUGUUUACUAGACAGGCGAAAUUAAAAAGUUAUGAAAUUUAAUUUUUUUAAUAGUUUAAUCAGCGUAGAUCAUGUUUAACGGAACCGAUCAUCAAAUCAGAUGUCCUUUUUUUAAAAAAAAUUUAUAAGUACAGAGGUCUCUGUAUUUUUUAAAAUGUAGGAGCCUAAUUCCAUGUAUUCUUCUUCUUUCUUCUUUUUUUUUUUUUUUUUUUUUUUUUUU
This 712-nucleotide long non-coding RNA is filed under the name Ananas comosus (pineapple). RNAcentral describes it as "long non-coding RNA (ACOM_LNC001463)". The record is from RNAcentral. Lineage: Eukaryota; Viridiplantae; Streptophyta; Magnoliopsida; Poales; Bromeliaceae.